UCCCUGGUGGCUCAGACAGUAAAGAAUCUGCCUGUAAUGCAGGAGACCUGGGUUCAUUCCCUGGCUUGGGAA
Molecule: transfer RNA, 72 nt
Filed under: Bos taurus (domestic cattle)
Lineage: Eukaryota; Metazoa; Chordata; Mammalia; Artiodactyla; Bovidae
Also listed under: 3 other names
Rfam family: tRNA
About the family: Transfer RNA (tRNA) molecules are approximately 80 nucleotides in length. Their secondary structure includes four short double-helical elements and three loops (D, anti-codon, and T loops).
Source: Rfam by way of RNAcentral